AAAAGUCUGAUGUCGUCUAGCACGGAAU
This 28-nucleotide small RNA is filed under the name Bombyx mori (domestic silkworm). RNAcentral describes it as "ovarian small RNA-9888". The record is from RNAcentral. Lineage: Eukaryota; Metazoa; Arthropoda; Insecta; Lepidoptera; Bombycidae.